Molecule: transfer RNA, 74 nt
Filed under: Candidatus Azambacteria bacterium
Lineage: Bacteria; Candidatus Azamiibacteriota
Description: tRNA-Trp
Rfam family: tRNA
About the family: Transfer RNA (tRNA) molecules are approximately 80 nucleotides in length. Their secondary structure includes four short double-helical elements and three loops (D, anti-codon, and T loops).
Source: RNAcentral
GCGGGUGUAGUAUAGUGGUAGUAUAGCUCUCUCCAAAAGAGUAGGCGGGGGUUCGAUUCCCUCCACCCGUGCCA